AAUUUCAAAAAAUCCUCGCUUUCAGCGCCAUCUUCCUUGCAGACUGGACGACCAUUUUUCGUAGUUCGCAUUUCCCCUUUCUCAUGCUUCCCCAAAUCACACACUAGUUCAGUGCCAAACACUUCUUAUUACAAAAUACUGUAGAUUCUUCUUUGUCCUUUGAACUAGACAUUAUAUUUGUAUUUCUAUCCAAAUCCAUCCAAGACUGUUCUUCCACAUUAUUUUAAUUCAAUCAGGUAAAUAUUCGGAGUUUUGUCUAUUUAUGGACAAAUUUUCAUUUUUUUGUGGAAAAAUAUACUUCUUUUGGUGAUUUUUAUAGUUAACACGGUUGACACUACUUCCUUUCAGUUUCAGGCUUGAAAGUUUGAAGUAGACUGCCAUUCCUUUAAGUUUCAAGCUUGAUACUUGCAUUAUGUUUAUCGGUUAAUUUGGUUAAUGCUCAUUAGUUGUUGAGUAGAAUGGUUAAUUACUUAAGAUCCAGUUAAUACUGGUUGGUGAUAUUUGAAUAUCCAUUUUAGUGUAAUUUUUAUUUGAAUUUUCAGUUAGUAUCAUCAAUCUCCUGAUAUUUGAAUUUUUUAAUGUAACUUGAAUAUUUGGUUAAUGCUUUCUGGAUGGUAUAAUAAAUUUGCUCGAUUAUGAAGUGUAGUCAUUGGUGUAUUUAAAUUGGCUGGAUGAGGAACUGAGAUAGACUGUAACGAACUUUGUUGGAUAAAUGAAAUUUUCUGUUUAUUUUAAUUGCCUUUCCAUUUAAAUAUGCGAAGCAAAAUUGUUUUUAUUAUUGUUGUGCUUUAAAGUUACAAUUGAGCUGAUGAUUAGGCUUUCGUGUUUCAUCAAAAUUCUUGACAUUCUUGGUUAGCUUUUCUUCGUUCUUUAUUUUAAAAUGUUAAGACAUCCUCAGAAUUUGAUCGAUCUUUGGACUAGAAGAAAUAUUUCCAUAGUUCAUUACUCAUUGGUUCAGUAACUUCUGUUUUUAACAUGAUAGAAUCAGAUUUAAGGGUUAAAGUCUUGUUCAUAGUUGGACAGGAUUGGAACUGAGUGGUCUGGAUCCGGUUAUUUAUGUGGAGCAGUUGGUUCAAUUUGCACAAUUCCGAAAGGGAAUCGGAGAGCUGGACCAUACCUGACCAUGCCCACUUUAAUCUUGGCAAUGUGGCAUUGGUUUACUUCAAUGUAUUAAAAAUGGUGUUGUUUUAUAUUUGAAUGAGAUUGCAAUCAUUUUCUUCAACUAAUUCAUCAAUUGUUUCUUACCCCUGGAAAUUGAUCUCUGUAGUUGAUCAUCUCGAGCUCCCGUGCUUAUUUCUUCAUGCACUAGCUGCUGACAACCAUCACAGUCUGAAACUGAUUGACUAUAGCCCCUCUGCUGCAAAAUCAAUUAAUAUAGACAUUACGCCCUCGGGGCAUAUCCCAAUGAUACAAAGGACAAGGGUGAGGGCUUUGCUGACAGCCGCAGUGUAAGGGUUUGAUUUAUGAAACAUGGAUUGAGACUCUUUGUGGACAUCAGUGUACAGGCAGCUCUUGUUUCCUAGCCUGUUAGGACACAUCUUGCGAUUAACCUCUCUCAUGACGAUCCAGAGCGGGACGGUGGGA
This 1584-nucleotide long non-coding RNA is filed under the name Olea europaea (common olive). RNAcentral's name for it is "long non-coding RNA (OEUR_LNC006066)". The record is from RNAcentral. Lineage: Eukaryota; Viridiplantae; Streptophyta; Magnoliopsida; Lamiales; Oleaceae.